GACGAACGCUGGCGGCGUGCCUAACACAUGCCAGUCGAACGGAACUGUUUUGAAAGAUUUCUUCGGAAUGAAUUUGCUUUAGUUUAGUGGCGGACGGGUGAGUAACGCGUGAGUAACCUGCCUUCAAGAGGGGAAUAACAUUCUGAAAAGAAUGCUAAUACCGCAUGACAUAUCGGAACCACAUGGUUUUGAUAUCAAAGAUUUUAUCGCUUGAAGAUGGACUCGCGUCCGAUUAGUUAGUUGGUGAGGUAACGGCUCACCAAGACCGCGAUCGGUAGCCGGACUGAGAGGUUGAACGGCCACAUUGGGACUGAGACACGGCCCAGACUCCUACGGGAGGCAGCAGUGGGGGAUAUUGCGCAAUGGGGGCAACCCUGACGCAGCAACGCCGCGUGAAGGAUGAAGGUUUUCGGAGUGUAAACUUCUUUUAUUAAGGACGAAAAAUGACGGUACUUAAUGAAUAAGCUCCGGCUAACUACGUG
Molecule: ribosomal RNA, 482 nt
Filed under: uncultured bacterium
Lineage: Bacteria
Description: partial 16S ribosomal RNA
Rfam family: Bacterial small subunit ribosomal RNA
Source: RNAcentral